RNAcentral lists this ribosomal RNA (292 nucleotides) under uncultured bacterium. RNAcentral describes it as "partial 16S ribosomal RNA". The record is from RNAcentral.
GGACUACCGGGGUAUCUAAUCCUGUUUGCUCCCCACGCUCUCGCGCCUCAGUGUCAGUAUCUGUCCAGGUAGCCGCCUUCGCCACUGGUGUUCCUUCCGAUCUCUACGCAUUUCACCGCUACACCGGAAAUUCCACUACCCUCUACAGUACUCAAGCUAUACAGUUUUGCUUGCAGUUCCCAGGUUAAGCCCGGGGAUUUCACAAACAACUUACAUAACCACCUACGCGCCCUUUACGCCCAGUAAUUCCGAUUAACGCUUGCACCCUCUGUAUUACCGCGGCUGCUGGCAC